GGCCUUAUAGUGUAGUGGUUAUCACGGCGGAUUCUGAUUCCGUAGACGUAGGUUCGACUCCUGCUUAGGCCU
RNAcentral lists this transfer RNA (72 nucleotides) under Fomitopsis schrenkii. RNAcentral's name for it is "tRNA-Gln (CTG) (tRNA-Gln-CTG-3-1)". It matches the Rfam family "tRNA". Rfam says of the family: Transfer RNA (tRNA) molecules are approximately 80 nucleotides in length. Their secondary structure includes four short double-helical elements and three loops (D, anti-codon, and T loops). Lineage: Eukaryota; Fungi; Basidiomycota; Agaricomycetes; Polyporales; Fomitopsidaceae. The record is from RNAcentral.